Molecule: transfer RNA, 71 nt
Filed under: Loxodonta africana (African savanna elephant)
Lineage: Eukaryota; Metazoa; Chordata; Mammalia; Proboscidea; Elephantidae
Rfam family: tRNA
About the family: Transfer RNA (tRNA) molecules are approximately 80 nucleotides in length. Their secondary structure includes four short double-helical elements and three loops (D, anti-codon, and T loops).
Source: Rfam by way of RNAcentral
GCAUUGGUAGUUCAGUGGUAGAAUUCUUGCCUUCCAUGUAAGAGCUCAGAUUUCGAUUCCUGGCCAAUGCA